CACUCCUACGGGAGGCAGCAGUGGGGAAUAUUGGACAAUGGGCGCAAGCCUGAUCCAGCCAUGCCGCGUGAGUGAUGAAGGCCCUAGGGUUGUAAAGCUCUUUCACCGGUGAAGAUAAUGACGGUAACCGGAGAAGAAGCCCCGGCUAACUUCGUGCCAGCAGCCGCGGUAAUACGAAGGGGGCUAGCGUUGUUCGGAUUUACUGGGCGUAAAGCGCACGUAGGCGGACUAUUAAGUCAGGGGUGAAAUCCCGGGGCUCAACCCCGGAACUGCCUUUGAUACUGGUAGUCUUGAGUUCGAGAGAGGUGAGUGGAAUUCCGAGUGUAGAGGUGAAAUUCGUAGAUAUUCGGAGGAACACCAGUGGCGAAGGCGGCUCACUGGCUCGAUACUGACGCUGAGGUGCGAAAGCGUGGGGAGCAAACAGGAUUAGAAACCCCAGUAGUCCCA
This 447-nucleotide ribosomal RNA is filed under the name uncultured organism. Its description in RNAcentral is "partial 16S ribosomal RNA". It matches the Rfam family "Bacterial small subunit ribosomal RNA", at positions 334 to 797 of the family's 1533-position model. The record is from RNAcentral.